UACGUAGGUGGCGAGCGUUGGCCGGAAUUACUGGGCGUAAAGGGUGCGUAGGCGGCUCCUUAAGUGAGGUGUGAAAUCCCUGGGCUCAACCCAGGAACUGCACUUCCAACUGGGGAGCUAGAGUGCAGGAGAGGAAGCGGAAUUCCCGGUGUAGCGGUGAAAUGCGUAGAGAUCGGGAGGAACACCAGUGGCGAGGGCGGCUUUCUGGACUGUAACUGACGCUGAGGCACGAAAGCGUGGGGAGCAAACAGG
Molecule: ribosomal RNA, 252 nt
Filed under: uncultured bacterium
Lineage: Bacteria
Description: partial 16S ribosomal RNA
Rfam family: Bacterial small subunit ribosomal RNA
Source: RNAcentral